RNAcentral lists this ribosomal RNA (1355 nucleotides) under Salmonella enterica. Its description in RNAcentral is "partial 23S ribosomal RNA". It matches the Rfam family "Bacterial large subunit ribosomal RNA", at positions 1292 to 2630 of the family's 2925-position model. Lineage: Bacteria; Pseudomonadati; Pseudomonadota; Gammaproteobacteria; Enterobacterales; Enterobacteriaceae. The record is from RNAcentral.
GAAUGCUGACAUAAGUAACGAUAAAGCGGGUGAAAAGCCCGCUCGCCGGAAGACCAAGGGUUCCUGUCCAACGUUAAUCGGGGCAGGGUGAGUCGACCCCUAAGGCGAGGCCGAAAGGCGUAGUCGAUGGGAAACGGGUUAAUAUUCCCGUACUUGGUGUUACUGCGAAGGGGGGACGGAGAAGGCUAUGUUGGCCGGGCGACGGUUGUCCCGGUUUAAGCGUGUAGGUGUGUGUUCCAGGUAAAUCCGGUUCACUUUAACACUGAGGCGUGACGACGAGGCACUACGGUGCUGAAGCAACAAAUGCCCUGCUUCCAGGAAAAGCCUCUAAGCAUCAGGUAACAUCAAAUCGUACCCCAAACCGACACAGGUGGUCAGGUAGAGAAUACCAAGGCGCUUGAGAGAACUCGGGUGAAGGAACUAGGCAAAAUGGUGCCGUAACUUCGGGAGAAGGCACGCUGACACGUAGGUGAAGUGAUUUACUCAUGGAGCUGAAGUCAGUCGAAGAUACCAGCUGGCUGCAACUGUUUAUUAAAAACACAGCACUGUGCAAACACGAAAGUGGACGUAUACGGUGUGACGCCUGCCCGGUGCCGGAAGGUUAAUUGAUGGGGUCAGCGCAAGCGAAGCUCCUGAUCGAAGCCCCGGUAAACGGCGGCCGUAACUAUAACGGUCCUAAGGUAGCGAAAUUCCUUGUCGGGUAAGUUCCGACCUGCACGAAUGGCGUAAUGAUGGCCAGGCUGUCUCCACCCGAGACUCAGUGAAAUUGAACUCGCUGUGAAGAUGCAGUGUACCCGCGGCAAGACGGAAAGACCCCGUGAACCUUUACUAUAGCUUGACACUGAACAUUGAGCCUUGAUGUGUAGGAUAGGUGGGAGGCUUUGAAGUGUGGACGCCAGUCUGCAUGGAGCCGACCUUGAAAUACCACCCUUUAAUGUUUGAUGUUCUAACGUGGACCCGUUACCCGGGUUGCGGACAGUGUCUGGUGGGUAGUUUGACUGGGGCGGUCUCCUCCUAAAGAGUAACGGAGGAGCACGAAGGUUGGCUAAUCCUGGUCGGACAUCAGGAGGUUAGUGCAAUGGCAUAAGCCAGCUUGACUGCGAGCGUGACGGCGCGAGCAGGUGCGAAAGCAGGUCAUAGUGAUCCGGUGGUUCUGAAUGGAAGGGCCAUCGCUCAACGGAUAAAAGGUACUCCGGGGAUAACAGGCUGAUACCGCCCAAGAGUUCAUAUCGACGGCGGUGUUUGGCACCUCGAUGUCGGCUCAUCACAUCCUGGGGCUGAAGUAGGUCCCAAGGGUAUGGCUGUUCGCCAUUUAAAGUGGUACGCGAGCUGGGUUUAGAACGUCGUGAGACAGU